This 447-nucleotide ribosomal RNA is filed under the name uncultured bacterium. Its description in RNAcentral is "partial 16S ribosomal RNA". It matches the Rfam family "Bacterial small subunit ribosomal RNA", at positions 29 to 523 of the family's 1533-position model. The record is from RNAcentral.
AACGAACGCUGGCGGCAGGCUUAACACAUGCAAGUCGAGCGCCCCGCAAGGGGAGCGGCAGACGGGUGAGUAACACGUGGGAAUCUACCCAUCCCUACGGAACAACUCCGGGAAACUGGAGCUAAUACCGUAUACGCCCUUCGGGGGAAAGAUUUAUCGGGGAUGGAUGAGCCCGCGUUGGAUUAGCUAGUUGGUGGGGUAAAGGCCUACCAAGGCGACGAUCCAUAGCUGGUCUGAGAGGAUGAUCAGUCACAUUGGGACUGAGACACGGCCCAAACUCCUACGGGAGGCAGCAGUGGGGAAUAUUGGACAAUGGGCGCAAGCCUGAUCCAGCCAUGCCGCGUGAGUGAUGAAGGCCUUAGGGUUGUAAAGCUCUUUCACCGAUGAAGAUAAUGACGGUAGUCGGAGAAGAAGCCCCGGCUAACUUCGUGCCAGCAGCCGCCGUAA